RNAcentral lists this non-coding RNA (31 nucleotides) under Rattus norvegicus (Norway rat). The record is from RNAcentral. Lineage: Eukaryota; Metazoa; Chordata; Mammalia; Rodentia; Muridae.
UGAAAUUCUUCCACAAAAUGCAUUCCUGGUC